UACAGAGGUCCCAAGCGUUGUUCGGAUUCACUGGGCGUAAAGGGUGCGUAGGCGGUCGGGUAAGUCUGAUGUGAAAUCUCACAGCUUAACUGUGAAACUGCAUUGGAUACUAUCCGGCUAGAGGAAUGGAGGGGAGACUGGAAUACUUGGUGUAGCAGUGAAAUGCGUAGAUAUCAAGUGGAACACCAGUGGCGAAGGCGGUUCUCUGGGCCUGUACUGACGCUGAGGAGCGAAAGCGUGGGGAGCGAACAGG
RNAcentral lists this ribosomal RNA (253 nucleotides) under uncultured bacterium. RNAcentral's name for it is "partial 16S ribosomal RNA". It matches the Rfam family "Bacterial small subunit ribosomal RNA", at positions 524 to 776 of the family's 1533-position model. The record is from RNAcentral.